This 381-nucleotide ribosomal RNA is filed under the name uncultured bacterium. Its description in RNAcentral is "bacterial SSU rRNA". It matches the Rfam family "Bacterial small subunit ribosomal RNA", at positions 424 to 793 of the family's 1533-position model. The record is from RNAcentral.
CGUAAAGCACGUUCAGCGUGAGAGGUAGUGUAGUAUUAGCUUGACAGUUAUUUGACGUUAGCGACGAGAAGAAGCACCGGCUAACUACCGUGCCAGCAGCCGCGGUAAUACGGAGGGUGCGAGCGUUAAUCGGAAUUACUGGGCGUAAAGCGCAUGCAGGUGGUUUGUUAAGUCAGAUGUGAAAGCCCGGGGCUCAACCUCGGAAUAGCAUUUGAAACUGGCAGACUAGAGUACUGUAGAGGGGGGUAGGAAUUUCAGGUGUAGCGGUGAAAUGCGUAGAGAUCUGAAGGAAUACCGGUGGCGAAGGCGGCCCCCCUGGACAGAUACUGACACUCAGAUGCGAAAGCGUGGGGAGCAAACAGGAUUAGAUACCCCUGGUAG